Molecule: transfer RNA, 89 nt
Filed under: Priestia aryabhattai
Lineage: Bacteria; Bacillati; Bacillota; Bacilli; Caryophanales; Bacillaceae
Description: Bacillus aryabhattai tRNA-Leu
Rfam family: tRNA
About the family: Transfer RNA (tRNA) molecules are approximately 80 nucleotides in length. Their secondary structure includes four short double-helical elements and three loops (D, anti-codon, and T loops).
Source: RNAcentral
GCCGGGGUGGUGGAAUUGGCAGACACACAGGACUUAAAAUCCUGCGGUAGGUGACUACCGUGGGGGUUCAAGUCCCUUCAUCCGUACCA